This 585-nucleotide ribosomal RNA is filed under the name uncultured Glomus. Its description in RNAcentral is "bacterial SSU rRNA". It matches the Rfam family "Eukaryotic small subunit ribosomal RNA", at positions 624 to 1213 of the family's 1831-position model. Lineage: Eukaryota; Fungi; Glomeromycota; Glomeromycetes; Glomerales; Glomeraceae. The record is from RNAcentral.
AAGCUCGUAGUUGAAUUUCGGGCUUAUCAGGUUGGACGUGCCAAUGGUAUGUACCGGCCUUGCUGAUUCCUCCCUCUUGAUGAGCCGUAAUGCCAUUAAUUUGGUGUUGCGAGGAAUCAGGACUGUUACUUUGAAAAAAUUACAGUGUUUAAAGCAGGCAAGCGCUUGAAUACAUUAGCAUGGAAUAAUGAAAUAGGACGUUUGAUCUUAUUUUGUUGGUUUCUAAGAUUGACGUAAUGAUUAAUAGGGAUAGUUGGGGGCAUUAGUAUUCAAUUGUCAGAGGUGAAAUUCUUGGACUUAUUGAAGACUAACUACUGCGAAAGCAUUUGCCAAGGAUGUUCUCAUUAAUCAAGAACGAAAGUUGGGGGCUCGAACACGACUACAUACUGUCCUAGUCUCAACCAUAAACGAUGCCGACCACGGAUCAGCCGGUGUUACUAAUAGGACUCAUUCGGCGCCUUACGGGAAACCAAAGUGUUUGGGUUCCGGGGGGAGUAUGGUCGCAAGGCUGAAACUUAAAGGAAUUGACGGAAGGGCACCACCAGGGGUGGAGCCUGCGGCUUAAUUUGACUCAACACGGAGAAA